UACGGAGGGGGCUAGCGUUGUUCGGAAUUACUGGGCGUAAAGCGCACGUAGGCGGACCGGAAAGUUGGAGGUGAAAUCCCAGGGCUCAACCUUGGAACUGCCUUCAAAACUAUCGGUCUGGAGUUCGAGAGAGGUGAGUGGAAUUCCGAGUGUAGAGGUGAAAUUCGUAGAUAUUCGGAGGAACACCAGUGGCGAAGGCGGCUCACUGGCGCGAUACUGACGCUGAGGUGCGAAAGCGUGGGGAGCAAACAGG
Molecule: ribosomal RNA, 253 nt
Filed under: uncultured bacterium
Lineage: Bacteria
Description: partial 16S ribosomal RNA
Rfam family: Bacterial small subunit ribosomal RNA
Source: RNAcentral